AACGCUAGCUACAGGCUUAACACAUGCAAGUCGAGGGGCAUCAGGGUAGCAAUACCGCUGGCGACCGGCGCACGGGUGAGUAACACGUAUCCAACCUACCGUUAACUCGGGGAUAGCCUUUCGAAAGAAAGAUUAAUACCCGAUAGUAUAUUUUCUUCGCAUGUUGAAAAUAUUAAAGAAUUUCGGUUAUCGAUGGGGAUGCGUUCCAUUAGGCAGUUGGCGGGGUAACGGCCCACCAAACCUACGAUGGAUAGGGGUUCUGAGAGGAAGGUCCCCCACAUUGGAACUGAGACACGGUCCAAACUCCUACGGGAGGCAGCAGUGAGGAGUAUUGGUCAAUGGACGAAGGUCUGAACCAGCCAAGUCGCGUGAAGGAAGAAGGAUCUAUGGUUCGUAAACUUCUUUUGCAGGGGAAUAAAGUGCAGGACGUGUCCUGUUUUGUAUGUACCCUGAGAAUAAGGAUCGGCUAACUCCGUGCCAGCAGCCGCGGUAAUACGGAGGAUCCGAGCGUUAUCCGGAUUUAUUGGGUUUAAAGGGUGCGUAGGUGGUUUUAUAAGUCAGCGGUGAAAGUUUGCAGCUUAACUGUAAAAAUGCCGUUGAAACUGUAAGACUUGAGUGUAAAUGAGGUAGGCGGAAUGCGUGGUGUAGCGGUGAAAUGCAUAGAUAUCACGAAGAACUCCGAUUG
This 685-nucleotide ribosomal RNA is filed under the name uncultured bacterium. RNAcentral's name for it is "bacterial SSU rRNA". It matches the Rfam family "Bacterial small subunit ribosomal RNA", at positions 32 to 715 of the family's 1533-position model. The record is from RNAcentral.